GACGAACGCUGGCGGCGUGCUUAACACAUGCAAGUCGAACGGAAAGGCCCUGCUUUUGUGGGGUGCUCGAGUGGCGAACGGGUGAGUAACACGUGAGUAACCUGCCCUUGACUUUGGGAUAACUUCAGGAAACUGGGGCUAAUACCGGAUAGGAGCUCCUGCUGCAUGGUGGGGGUUGGAAAGUUUCGGCGGUUGGGGAUGGACUCGCGGCUUAUCAGCUUGUUGGUGGGGUAGUGGCUUACCAAGGCUUUGACGGGUAGCCGGCCUGAGAGGGUGACCGGCCACAUUGGGACUGAGAUACGGCCCAGACUCCUACGGGAGCAGCAGUGGGGAAUAUUGCACAAUGGGCGGAAGCCUGAUGCAGCAACGCCGCGUGCGGGAUGACGGCCUUCGGGUUGUAAACCGCUUUCGCCUGUGACGAAGCGUGAGUGACGGUAAUGGGUAAAGAAGCACCGGCUAACUACGUG
This 467-nucleotide ribosomal RNA is filed under the name uncultured bacterium. RNAcentral's name for it is "partial 16S ribosomal RNA". It matches the Rfam family "Bacterial small subunit ribosomal RNA", at positions 28 to 507 of the family's 1533-position model. The record is from RNAcentral.